GUCAUGCAAAUGAGCAAAAAGAAAAUACAAAAAAGUUUCUUCACAUUAUCCAUGCAAUUGGCUUGUAGGGUACUAUUUUUUCACUGGCACCUAGAUCAGUCACACUGAUCAACCUUAAUGGCAUAGGUUAACUCGAAUCACUUAGCGAUCUAAUCAAAAUCUAAUUCACCAAAUUGGUUAGGUAAGUAAGAUCGAUGGGAGGG
Molecule: long non-coding RNA, 203 nt
Filed under: Elaeis guineensis (African oil palm)
Lineage: Eukaryota; Viridiplantae; Streptophyta; Magnoliopsida; Arecales; Arecaceae
Description: long non-coding RNA (EGUI_LNC040469)
Source: RNAcentral